GGCGUGCUUAACACAUGCAAGUCGAACGGAAAGGCCCUGCUUUUGUGGGGUGCUCGAGUGGCGAACGGGUGAGUAACACGUGAGUAACCUGCCCUUGACUUUGGGAUAACUUCAGGAAACUGGGGCUAAUACCGGAUAGGAGCUCCUGCUGCAUGGUGGGGGUUGGAAAGUUUCGGCGGUUGGGGAUGGACUCGCGGCUUAUCAGCUUGUUGGUGGGGUAGUGGCUUACCAAGGCUUUGACGGGUAGCCGGCCUGAGAGGGUGACCGGCCACAUUGGGACUGAGAUACGGCCCAGACUCCUACGGGAGGCAGCAGUGGGGAAUAUUGCACAAUGGGCGGAAGCCUGAUGCAGCAACGCCGCGUGCGGGAUGACGGCCUUCGGGUUGUAAACCGCUUUCGCCUGUGACGAAGCGUGAGUGACGGUAAUGGGUAAAGAAGCACCGGCUAACUACGUGCCAGCAGCCGCGGUGAUACGUAGGGUGCGAGCGUUGUCCGGAUUUAUUGGGCGUAAAGGGCUCGUAGGUGGUUGAUCGCGUCGGAAGUGUAAUCUUGGGGCUUAACCCUGAGCGUGCUUUCGAUACGGGUUGACUUGAGGAAGGUAGGGGAGAAUGGAAUUCCUGGUGGAGCGGUGGAAUGCGCAGAUAUCAGGAGGAACACCAGUGGCGAAGGCGGUUCUCUGGGCCUUUCCUGACGCUGAGGAGCGAAAGCGUGGGGAGCGAACAGGCUUAGAUACCCUGGUAGUCCACGCUGUAAACGGUGGGUACUAGGUGUGGGGUCCAUUCCACGGGUUCCGUGCCGUAGCUAACGCUUUAAGUACCCCGCCUGGGGAGUACGGCCGCAAGGCUAAAACUCAAAGGAAUUGACGGGGCCCCGCACAAGCGGCGGAGCAUGCGGAUUAAUUCGAUGCAACGCGUAGAACCUUACCUGGGUUUGACAUGGAUCGGGAGUGCUCAGAGAUGGGUGUGCCUCUUUUGGGGUCGGUUCACAGGUGGUGCAUGGCUGUCGUCAGCUCGUGUCGUGAGAUGUUGGGUUAAGUCCCGCAACGAGCGCAACCCUUGUUCACUGUUGCCAGCACGUUAUGGUGGGGACUCAGUGGAGACCGCCGGGGUCAACUCGGAGGAAGGUGGGGAUGACGUCAAGUCAUCAUGCCCCUUAUGUCCAGGGCUUCACGCAUGCUACAAUGGCUGGUACAGAGAGUGGCGAGCCUGUGAGGGUGAGCGAAUCUCGGAAAGCCGGUCUCAGUUCGGAUUGGGGUCUGCAACUCGACCUCAUGAAGUCGGAGUCGCUAGUAAUCGCAGAUCAGCAACGCUGCGGUGAAUACGUUCCCGGGGCUUGUACACACCGCCCGUCAAGUCAUGAAAGUUGGUAACACCCGAAGCCGGUGGCCUAACCGUUGUGGGGGAGCCGUCGAAGGUGGGACUGGUGAUUAGGACUAAGUCAUA
RNAcentral lists this ribosomal RNA (1442 nucleotides) under uncultured organism. Its description in RNAcentral is "partial small subunit ribosomal RNA". It matches the Rfam family "Bacterial small subunit ribosomal RNA". The record is from RNAcentral.